AGCGCAGGCGGUUUUUUAAGUCUGAUGUGAAAGCCUUCGGCUCAACCGAAGAAGUGCAUCGGAAACUGGGAGACUUGAGUGCAGAAGAGGACAGUGGAACUCCAUGUGUAGCGGUGAAAUGCGUAGAUAUAUGGAAGAACACCAGUGGCGAAGGCGGCUGUCUGGUCUGUAACUGACGCUGAGGCUCAAAGGUAUGGGUAGCGAACA
RNAcentral lists this ribosomal RNA (207 nucleotides) under uncultured bacterium. RNAcentral describes it as "partial 16S ribosomal RNA". It matches the Rfam family "Bacterial small subunit ribosomal RNA", at positions 568 to 774 of the family's 1533-position model. The record is from RNAcentral.